This is a long non-coding RNA of Daphnia pulicaria, 1003 nucleotides long. RefSeq lists it as uncharacterized. Lineage: Eukaryota; Metazoa; Arthropoda; Branchiopoda; Diplostraca; Daphniidae. The record is from RefSeq and is a predicted model, not a curated record. The transcript is spliced from 2 exons.
UGCCCAACUAGAAGGAGACUUGCCAGUCGUGAUGAGGAUGGAAGGGAUAGGGGGGACCCCGUUUUUCUCCGAGAGAAAAACAAUGGAAGAAAACAAAAAAAAAUAAUAAGACAACAACAACCCCGAAAAAAAUGAAGAGAAAAUAAAAGAAGCAACAAACGAACGAAAGAGAAAGCGAGAACAUAUCACGCAGCAACUCGGCACAUGCGUAAUGAGAUACCUAUAACAUAUGGAGGGAAAUUCGAAUUCAAUCAACCGCGCUUCAAGAUUUUGCGCAAUUUCCUGUUCAAUCUGAAGAAUUCCGACAUGUUUGUCGUCGCAAACAUGUCCGACCUCCGACGUGGGGUUCUAAGUGAAAUUUCUCUUUUAGAGUGUCGUGCAAUGUUCUGAUUUCGAAAUCAGGUAAAACCUAACAGAGUCAUAAGUUUUGCCGGUUCAUUUUCAAUAGAGCCAAGACCGCCAAGGUGUGUCUAUAGGUUUUCAAUGUAGCCGCUGGCUGACGACCGAGGGUGUGAAACGGGUUGAAGCUCGAAUAGAAAGUAUUGAAAAAGAAGAGGAGAAAGAAGAAGAAGAAGGAGAUGGGGCGCUCGAAAAGAAUUAAAGAACAAGAUAAGAGAUCACGGCACGAGGAAAAUAUAUCCCACCACACUGCUUGAGGUGAAGAGGUCACGCUCCGGCCGAGUGAACAACCCAAAAAAGAAAAUCUCAACGAUGAGAGACGCCUUCGGCUGGUUCGCACGAGAAGGGGAAAGAUAGGGGGAAAUAAAAAAGAAACAGUUCGUUCUGAUUCUGGGGGGAAUCAUUGAACUAAAAAAACUGGGAGAUAAAUGAACUAAUCGGUAGGAAUGAUUGAAUGAACAAAUCCCCUGUGUCGUCUGUCAGAUGUGGAGAUAAGAACGGUCAGUUUAAACCAACCCCACAAUCUUUUUCAUCGGGCGAAAGAGAAUUGACGUCAAACGAGGAAGGCAAAUUAAGCAGAAAUUUCUUUUUUUUUUUUUCAGAA